Arabidopsis lyrata subsp. lyrata is the source of this 98-nucleotide small nucleolar RNA. It matches the Rfam family "Small nucleolar RNA Z266". Rfam says of the family: Z266 is a member of the C/D class of snoRNA which contain the C (UGAUGA) and D (CUGA) box motifs. Most of the members of the box C/D family function in directing site-specific 2'-O-methylation of substrate RNAs. The record is from Rfam. Lineage: Eukaryota; Viridiplantae; Streptophyta; Magnoliopsida; Brassicales; Brassicaceae.
AACGGCGAGGGAUGAUGACUCAAUUAGAUGUGCGAAUGGAGAAAUUCUUCAUUUUGAGCUCAAAACUUUAUUUGGCAUAAUAAUCUGACUUCGCCUUC